UUUUUUUUGUCUAAUUUUGGUUUAACACAAACGCACGACAGCGCCAGGCAGAGAAAGGGGAAGGAGAGAUUGACGCUAGCCUACGCGACGCCGCCUCCCUCUGACCUGUCGCCGGUGGAGACCCAAGCCCUAGCCACCACCGGCGAUAGCCAAGCCUUAGUCACUGCCGGCGAUAGCCCAAGCCUUAGUCACCGCCGGCGAAAGCCACUGAGCUGCGUCCCUUCUUCCCUCGCACAACCACUGACCCGCCUCCCUCCUCCCAUCUCAGGAGUUGAAUGAACCUGUGCUUUCAUUCCGUAAGUCUUUUGUCUUCAGCUGAAAGUUUUCGAAGGCCUCAGACACUGCUUCCACCUGCAACAAGUGGCUGAUGUGAUCAUCUUGGAUUGAGAAUACCUUAUCACUGUCAUAAUCCUGAAAAAGUCAAGCUGUAAAUUCUCACAAUGGGCAAAAUGUUCACCGACUCCUGUAGGAGGCUUAGGAUCAUGAAGGGCUCAGAGGCAAUUGGGCUAGCUCCAAGGGCCAUGGAGAAGUGUAAGAACCGUAACUAAAGUGGAAGUAUCAACAAAGACCAAAGGGAGGUGUUUCCUGGGUAUCAAAAGCUUUGAAGGAUUUUGAAGUUUGGUAUUCUAUUUUAGAAACCUAUGUGUUUUUGAUAUGUAUUAGCUUUUGUGUAGUUAAGAGACUGGAAAAUUUUCAUGUAAGGUAGAAGAUUUUUAACUAGAGACAUGGAUUAUUAUAUAAUUUCAUUUGUUUUUAUAUAUGUAUCUCUGAACUCAAAAGUGAUGUGUAAAUGGAUUGCUUGAUAUUUGUAAUUUCACUC
Molecule: long non-coding RNA, 820 nt
Organism: Quercus lobata
Lineage: Eukaryota; Viridiplantae; Streptophyta; Magnoliopsida; Fagales; Fagaceae
Exons: 5
Source: RefSeq, a predicted model, not a curated record